Molecule: ribosomal RNA, 550 nt
Filed under: uncultured bacterium
Lineage: Bacteria
Description: bacterial SSU rRNA
Rfam family: Bacterial small subunit ribosomal RNA
Source: RNAcentral
AGCGGCGGACGGGUGAGUAAUGCCUGGGAAAUUGCCCUGAUGUGGGGGAUAACCAUUGGAAACGAUGGCUAAUACCGCAUAAUAGCUUCGGCUCAAAGAGGGGGACCUUCGGGCCUCUCGCGUCAGGAUAUGCCCAGGUGGGAUUAGCUAGUUGGUGAGGUAAGGGCUCACCAAGGCGACGAUCCCUAGCUGGUCUGAGAGGAUGAUCAGCCACACUGGAACUGAGACACGGUCCAGACUCCUACGGGAGGCAGCAGUGGGGAAUAUUGCACAAUGGGCGCAAGCCUGAUGCAGCCAUGCCGCGUGUAUGAAGAAGGCCUUCGGGUUGUAAAGUACUUUCAGCGGUGAGGAAGGCAGGUACGUUAAUAGCGUGCUUGUUUGACGUUAGCUACAGAAGAAGCACCGGCUAACUCCGUGCCAGCAGCCGCGGUAAUACGGAGGGUGCGAGCGUUAAUCGGAAUUACUGGGCGUAAAGCGCAUGCAGGUGGUUUGUUAAGUCAGAUGUGAAAGCCCGGGGCUCAACCUCGGAAUUGCAUUUGAAACUGGCAGA